UAUUCUGCCCCACGGGGAAGGAUGAGAAGCUUCGACUAAGGUUCGACUCGAGCGAAGCGAGAGAACGUUGCCGCAGGCAACGGCCCGAAGGGCGAGGCGCUUUAGCGCCGAGUAAUCCUUACCCCACCACUG
This 132-nucleotide small RNA is filed under the name Klebsiella pneumoniae. RNAcentral's name for it is "RtT sRNA". It matches the Rfam family "RtT RNA". From Rfam's summary of the family: This family represents a bacterial cis-regulatory element known as RtT RNA. The exact function of RtT is unknown although it is thought that it may be involved in changing the cellular response in relation to amino acid starvation. The record is from RNAcentral. Lineage: Bacteria; Pseudomonadati; Pseudomonadota; Gammaproteobacteria; Enterobacterales; Enterobacteriaceae.